CAACGGCAAACUGGAAUUGAAAUCGGAAGAGAUAUGUGAAGGCGUAGAUAAUAUCGUAGAACCUGGUAUUACCGGAAAAGAUGAAAGAGAUGCUUCGGAGCCAUUAGCAACAUAGAAAGGUGAUUUUCUCAUAGAGAAAGUUGUGGUGAUGGUUGGUGGUGAGUGAUUCGCCGGCCACCGUGCCGGUGACGGUGGUGAUAGAACGGUGAUUUGUUUUUUGUGAUUCGUUGUUGGAAUUGCAUAAUUAUUUCGGGAGGCCGGAAAUGGCGGGUAGAGUUUGGGGAAAAACAGACAAAUUUGCAGAGAAUUUGAGUUUGAAGGAGAGAGAAGAAGAGUCAGAUAUUUUUGGUUAGUGGAUUUUGAGAAAUUUCCCCUGUUAGCUCGUUAUUCUA
RNAcentral lists this unclassified non-coding RNA (392 nucleotides) under Hevea brasiliensis (rubber tree). The record is from RNAcentral. Lineage: Eukaryota; Viridiplantae; Streptophyta; Magnoliopsida; Malpighiales; Euphorbiaceae.